AUCUCCAGCACCCGCCUCAUCCCCUCCGCCUUCGCCUACAUCUCCCAGUCCAUGGCCCGCGCGUCCGCCAUCUCCAGCACCCGCCUCAUCCCCUCCGCCUUCGCCUGCAUCUCCCGGUCCAUGGCCCCCGCGUCCCUGCCGCCGCCGCCCGCGAGCUCCACCAUUGUCGCCGUCGUCAGCGCUUCCUACACGCGCGCGCUCGUCGUUGACCUCACUGGAUAUUUUACUUCGCGAUGACUGAAGGGGAAUGAAACUAUGAAAGCGACGGUGAGGAACCAGUUGGGUGAGGGCUCUGUUGGGCAGGUCAUGCACGAGGAACAUGCUUGAAAAUGAGGUUGUCCGUUCCUUCUACAAGGUUUGUUUUUGUUUUCUCUCUGGUGUUCCAUAACUUUUCCUUGUACAAAGUUCUAAUAAUUGUAGCUUUGUUACUGACCCAAUGCUAUUGCACGUGACAUAUUUUAGUCCAGAGAAACUAAACCAUGUAUUAAGUUCGAGUAUUUGGC
Long non-coding RNA from Zea mays, 503 nucleotides. RefSeq lists it as uncharacterized. The transcript has 2 exons. The record is from RefSeq and is a predicted model, not a curated record. Lineage: Eukaryota; Viridiplantae; Streptophyta; Magnoliopsida; Poales; Poaceae.